UUUAUGUGCAAUAUGGCCGCAAAUCACGACCUGUUAUCUUAGAGCAUGUCUAUAUGCUCUAGGCCUGUCACGGCAGCGGCGAGCACGUAAAAGUAGAUGUUCAAUACAUUUUGAACCAUCAUGUUUUAAAACAUCUUUCGAUUGCAACUGCCGAGGUACUCUUUGAAAGUUCAUAAGCUGAACAAUAAUAUAAUUCCCAUGUUGCAUUUAUUUAAUGACUCAUAUUUGAAAAAUACACAAUGCUUAAUCAUUUUGAUGAAGGAGGGAUUACAUUGAUGCGUUUAAAAUAAUCACAAAUGUGCCAAUCGAUAAUACCAAUAUGCCUGGAAAAGUGAAUGCCUCUACGCACAUCAAUGUUAUAUCACAAGAAGUGCCUUCAUUUGCAGUAGCGAAUAAUGUCAAUGGAUUGUGUUGGUACAGUUGUUCAAGAAGUAUCGAAUGUUCCAAUGCAUAUUGAAUUGGAAGAAAUGGUUCCUUCAUGUACAGUUAUAAAAAAUGUACCAAUGAAUUUUGCUGAUGUGUCUAAAAAAAUGUCAACUGUGACACACAUCGAUGUCGCAUCAAAAGAAAUUGUAGAUGCAUCAAAGAGUAUUAUGGAUGUAUAUAAUAUGGACAAUACUUUAUAUGUAACACCAAGUGCAUCAUCUAUAACAAAUCUCCAUAGCUCAAAUAAAGAUAUUGACUCCAUAAAAAACUUACAACAAGAAUUGGAAGAAGAAACUUGCAAAAUUCAAACUACAAGAGAAAUUGAAUAGAGCGAGAAUCUUAAAUUGCAAGUGGUUGCAGUAAAGAAAAAAUUGAAGCGGCAAGAACAAAACUUGUCUUGGUACAUUGAAAUGUGUGAAGUCAAAAUGUACACAAAUCUUUAGAAGAUAUAGCAAGCGCUAUGUCUUUACGAUGCAUCAGUCCCAAAGCUUACCGGUACAUGAGAAGUGUGAAAAUGCUUCUCCCUGUUUUUUCAAUGCUAAGAAGAUAUGCCACACUUGCUCGAGUUAGCAAGAAAUCACUUUAUUGAUAAUGGGUUCAGAGGAGAUAAUGGGUGUGCGGAGGCAUCGCAUGGAUAAGAAAUAUAUCGAAUAAAUCUUAAAUAUUUGUGCAAAAAAUGUAAAAGUUUCUUACAACAUUUUCCAAUAUCAUCUUCACGUUCAAGGCUAUGAAAGAGAAAAAGUUCUUCCUAUUAUACUUUAUAUUAUACAAUUACUUUCUGAACGAAACAGCUUCCAUUGAAUGAUUUGGACAAAAAACUACUUUAACAAUUUUGACUGGAAGGAAGCAGCGCGCAUUAUCUUGUUUAACGACUGGCUGAAAAUGUUUAAUGCUAGUAAUAUAUGUGACAAACGGCAAGAAUGUUUACGAGGUUAAUUUAGAAAAACCAGAUGGCGUUUUAUAAGAAAUGACCGAACUAAUGAAUGACAUGG
Molecule: long non-coding RNA, 1418 nt
Filed under: Acromyrmex echinatior (Panamanian leafcutter ant)
Lineage: Eukaryota; Metazoa; Arthropoda; Insecta; Hymenoptera; Formicidae
Description: uncharacterized LOC105155058, transcript variant X3
Source: RNAcentral